UCAAUAGCAUAAGCUUUAUGUUCUCACACUUCUAAGUGAUAAUCAAAUGUGUUAUACCACUUUAUACCCUGAGAUCCAAAAUACAUAAAUAUUUGACAAUUUGUACAAGACUGUAUUAAUAAGAAAAUGUAGCACAUGUAUAAAGAGAAGCAGCCUCACACAGAUUAAGGAAAAUGACAUUGAUCACAAAUGUCCUCAGCCUGGGUUGGCUGUGUUGCCUUUGUACACUUCAGUCCUCUGAGCUGAAGUGGGAGUGGUUUCUCUCCUAAAAAUGUUUCUGAGGCCCAAAUAGCUGAAGAGGUGGAGACAUUACAGAAACCAACUGGAGCCCCCAGAACUGGCAGACACCUGCCUGAUGCUGCCAUGGGACCCCAGCUCCUUGGCUAUGUGGUCCUUUGUCUUCUAGGAGCAGGGCCCUUGGAAGCCCAAGUGACCCAGAAGCCAAGAUACUUCAUCACAAUGACGGGAAAGAAGUUGACAGUGACUUGUUCUCAGAAUAUGAACCAUGAUUAUAUGUCCUGGUAUAGACAAGACCCAGGGCUGGGCCUAAGGCAGAUCUACUAUUCAAUUAACGUUGAGGUGGUUGAUAAGGGAGAUAUUCCUGAAGGGUACAAUGUCUCUCGAAAAGAGAAGACGAAUUUCCCCCUGAUCCUGGAGUCGCCCAGCCCCAGCCAGACCUCUCUGUACCUCUGUGCCAGUAGUGUAUCCACAGUGCUGCACAGCCAGCUGCUCUCUGCACAAAAACAGAGGGUAGUAGCUGCAAGAACAAGGAGACUCCUCCUUCAGGAGACCCCUUGCCGACCAACAGGAUAAACUUCCUCCGUCAUCCCACAGAAGCCCUUCCCCACACCCCAGCCUCAGGGACUCUGCAAUGCAGCCGCUCUGUGGAACCAGGGGUCCAUCCUCUACCUGCUGUACCAAUGAGGUUUCAAAGUUGGGCAGGACAAGCUGAGUUAGCUGUACUGCCAGGGUACUCUCCAAUCCUUUCUUCUUGUGGAGCUUAAAUCUUUAAAUUCAACUAAGCUGUUGCCCAAAAUGAAGACUCCAUUUACAAUCUAAUGGGUCUCAACAAUAUUUGGUCCUGUAUAGGUCCUGAACAGGACCUCCAGGUCCUAUUCCGGAGAUUUUGUCACUUGGAGGAACACCAUGUUUGGAGUUAUUGAUGAAACCCGACACCUCCUAUUUUCUUCCUCUCAGCAGAUGGUCCAAAUGCCCAAGUCAGAGAUGCAAGACUGAGCUUCACUGUCUCUCUGACUUUCCCCUUCCACACCGAAUCCACCACCCCAUCCUGCAUUCUUCUGAGUACUAAAUUCCUCACAAAUUUUACUAACUUCACUGAUCUCACCUGGAUCCCUCUAGCCACCUUCCCAGUAGCCACCCGACCUGCAAACCUGCGACCUACCCCCACCCACAAUCACUCCCUCAAGCUAACCCUUUGGCUUUUUUCUAUUAACUAGCUAAAGUCUCAAGUUCAUGUUAGUUUGCAAGUCUCUCAGCCCCUCCAUGAUGUGACCUUUGCAAAUCAGCCCACCUUUCUAACGCUGACUUCCCGUAUCCUUCAACUACCACAACUGCCUGCAUCUACUCCAGAAAUAUCCCACUUCUCACAGGUCCACAAAUAUGUCCACUGCUGACUCACUCCUGGGUCUUCAUCUACAAUGGUCACUCUACCCAGAAUACCAUAUCCCUCUGGUAUUCAUCUGUUUUUACAGCUGCUCUUUUUGUGCAGACUGCAGCUGACUGUGCAAUGCUGUGAAUAAACUGCUGGCGCAAACGUACAGAGAGGUCUGGACUGGGUGACUCGAGGAUCGGGGACCAAUUCAUAGACCAAUUUAGAAGUCACUUCCUCUAGCACGAUUUCCUUGAAUCACUGACUGGGUUAUUUCUCUCCCGUGUGUUCUUCUAACAGCCAGAGCUAACACCAACACUGAGACACCACCAUGAACUCACCAGCCGUUGACUUCUCUGUUCUAUAGCUUUUUGCCUCUUUGGAAUAGGUAGGUCAUGGGUACAGGUAUGAUGUCCUUGAACUUGGUUUGCUAGACCCUACAUUAAGCCUUUCUCUGGUGGUUAUACAUCAGUAUAUUUCCUAAGUUCUCUCUUUUUAGCCACAAUGUCCAUGAAUGCUGGUGUCACUGAAAUUUCAGUUUAUCAAGUUUCACAGUCAGAAAAGAAAGUACUAUAAUACAAUCAGAAUAUGUUUUAUGAUCCAUAUGUGCUGAGCCAGACAAGAGCCGGGAAUGAAGCUCCAACUAAUCUAUUUCUCAGUUGGUGCUUAGAGUACAAACAAAUAGAAAGUCUCUAAUAGACCUGUGUCUCUUGAGAUAAGACUGAGCAUUUCUUUUUCUUUUUCUUUUUUUUUUUUUUAUAUACUUUAAGUUCUAUUUCUUGCAGUCUACAGACAUCCAGCUCUUCGCAGACACAGCCAGCCGUUAACCCGAAGCACUGCACAGCCACUUCCUCUCUGCACAGAAAAGGCUGUCACAGGGGAGAGGUGGUCUUACCUUCCAGAGCCUGCCCUUACCAGAGGAAGCCACUCCUACCACAGAAACACUUAGGGGCCUUUCCCAGCUCUUUGCACUGAGACUUAUGGAGCUCUGAGGGCCCCAGUCUGUAAAAGUCCAUCCCUGGCCUGGCGCAGUUGCUCACACCUGUAAUCCCAGCACUUUGGGAGGCUGAGGUGGGUGGAUCACGAGGUCAGGAGUUCGAGAUCAGCCUGGCCAACAUUGUGAAACCCUGUCUCUACUAAAGAUACAAAAAAUUAGUCAGGCAUGAUGGUGCACACCUGUAGUCCCAGCUACUUGGGAGACUGAGGCAGGAGAAUCGCUUGAACCCAGGAGGUGGAGGUUGCAGUGAGCCAAGAUUGCACCACUGUACUCCAUUCUGGGCGACAGGAUGAGACUCCGUCUCAAAAAAAAAAAAAAAUCUAUCCCCAGAUCACGGUGCACCUGUGAGAUGGAGUUGUCAAUGUCCUCCUUCCCUUCCUUCUCAUUUGCUGUUUCAAUAGGGCUUCCUCAGCCUGGGCUCCUUAUUGGAAUUGACCUGCAUCAAUCCAGUGCCCCCUCACACCACCUACUAGAGAAGGCUGCAUUCUACAUUAUGGUCUUCAGGGAUCCUCUCUAGGGCCCCACAUGCUUCCCUUUUUGUUUACCUGUGUCUCAGGGGACAAUUUUAAUCUUAGUCUUAUACUUUUCAUUUAAGCAGGUUAGGCUACACCAUGCACUUACAGAUUUUGCCAAUAGAAGCUUUGAGACUUCACAUCUUGUAAAAUAAAAAAAAAAAAUUGUACUAAA
Chlorocebus sabaeus (green monkey) is the source of this 3293-nucleotide non-coding RNA. NCBI's taxonomy places the organism in Eukaryota, Metazoa, Chordata, Mammalia, Primates, Cercopithecidae. The record is from the annotation of a RefSeq genome assembly.